This 461-nucleotide ribosomal RNA is filed under the name Streptococcus mutans. RNAcentral's name for it is "bacterial SSU rRNA". It matches the Rfam family "Bacterial small subunit ribosomal RNA", at positions 28 to 464 of the family's 1533-position model. Lineage: Bacteria; Bacillati; Bacillota; Bacilli; Lactobacillales; Streptococcaceae. The record is from RNAcentral.
GACGAACGCUGGCGGCGUGCCUAAUACAUGCAAGUGGGACGCAAGGGGAACCCACUGUGCUUGCACACCCGUGUUUUUCUUGAGUCGCGAACGGGUGAGUAACGCGUAGGUAACCUGCCUAUUAGCGGGGGAUAACUAUUGGAAACGAUAGCUAAUACCGCAUAAUAUUAAUUAUUGCAUGAUAAUUGAUUGAAAGAUGCAAGCGCAUCACUAGUAGAUGGACCCUCGUUGCAUUAGCUAGUUGGUAAGGUAAGAGCUUACCAAGGCGACGAUACAUAGCCGACCUGAGAGGGUGAUCGGCCACACUGGGACUGAGACACGGCCCAGACUCCUACGGGAGGCAGCAGUAGGGAAUCUUCGGCAAUGGACGAAAGUCUGACCGAGCAACGCCGCGUGAGUGAAGAAGGUUUUCGGAUCGUAAAGCUCUGUUGUAAGUCAAGAACGUGUGUGAGAGUGGAAAG